This 253-nucleotide ribosomal RNA is filed under the name uncultured bacterium. RNAcentral's name for it is "partial 16S ribosomal RNA". It matches the Rfam family "Bacterial small subunit ribosomal RNA", at positions 524 to 776 of the family's 1533-position model. The record is from RNAcentral.
UACGUAGGGACCAAGCGUUGUCCGGAAUCAUUGGGCGUAAAGCGCACGUAGGCGGCUCGUUAAGUCGGUUGUGAAAGCCCUCGGCUCAACCGAGGAAGUGCAAUCGAAACUGGCGAGCUUGAAUAUGGAAGAGGGUCGCGGAAUUCCCGGUGUAGAGGUGAAAUUCGUAGAUAUCGGGAGGAACACCAGUGGCGAAGGCGGCGACCUGGGCCAAUAUUGACGCUGAGGUGCGAAAGCGUGGGGAGCAAACAGG